Long non-coding RNA from Salarias fasciatus (jewelled blenny), 346 nucleotides. RefSeq lists it as uncharacterized. Lineage: Eukaryota; Metazoa; Chordata; Actinopteri; Blenniiformes; Blenniidae. The record is from RefSeq and is a predicted model, not a curated record. The transcript has 3 exons.
UGUUCCAGUGGAAGCUCCGCACAGAGCAGCUCUUUCUUCUGCAGCACCUGUGAACUGCAGCUGUGAGGACUGGAAGUCCUACAGGUCACCACCAGUCAUCUUUUUUAUAAAGACACCAGCAGAAAGGAAAACACUCGGGCAACAAUAGCUGAAGUUAUUGGCGUGAGUGGCGGAGUGCUGUGGCGCAGCCGCACAGCAUCAGGUGGGCGCGCCCGCUCCGUUUCGUUCUAUUUUUCACGCGAGCCGCGAGCGCCGGGAGCGCCAUAUGUCAAGCUGGAUCAAGCAGAUCGGACCAGACAGGAAGUCGGAAACAGAAAAGGCAAGAGAAUCCGGUCAAUUUUCAAAA